Molecule: transfer RNA, 51 nt
Filed under: Leptotrombidium sp. TLMW-1
Lineage: Eukaryota; Metazoa; Arthropoda; Arachnida; Trombidiformes; Trombiculidae
Description: tRNA-Leu
Source: RNAcentral
GUUCAAGAAAUGCUUUGAUUUUAGGAAUCGAAUUUGGUUCUCCCUUGAAUU